UACGGGGAGUGCAAGCGUUUUUCGGAAUUAUUGGGCGUAAAGCGCGUGUAGGCGGCCUGAACAGUCUGGAGUGAAAGCCCUCGGCUCAACCGGGGAAGUGCUUCGGAUACUAUCAGGCUUGAGUCCUGGAGGGGCGAGUGGAAUUCCCAGUGUAGAGGUGAAAUUCGUAGAUAUUGGGAGGAACACCAGUGGCGAAGGCGGCUCGCUGGACAGUGACUGACGCUGAGACGCGAAAGCGUGGGGAGCAAACAGG
RNAcentral lists this ribosomal RNA (253 nucleotides) under uncultured bacterium. RNAcentral describes it as "partial 16S ribosomal RNA". It matches the Rfam family "Bacterial small subunit ribosomal RNA", at positions 524 to 776 of the family's 1533-position model. The record is from RNAcentral.